UACCUGCAGCUCUAGUGGUGAUCGCUAUUAUUGGGCCUAAAACGUCCGUAGCCGGCUUAUUAAAUGCCUGGGUAAAUCGUGUAGCUUAACUAUACGAAUUCCGGGUAGACUGAUAGGCUUGAGACCGGGAGAAGCUAGAGGUACUCCUGGGGUAGAGGUGAAAUUCUGUAAUCCUAGGGGGACCACCAGUGGCGAAGGCGUCUAGCUAGAACGGGUCUGACGGUGAGGGACGAAGCCCUGGGGCGCAAACCGGAUUAGAUACCCGGGUAGUCCAGGGUGUAAACGCUGCUUGCUUGAUGUUAGUUGGGCUCUGAGCCCAAUUAGUGUCGGAGAGAAGUUGUUAAGCAAGCUGCCUGGGAAGUACGGUCGCAAGACUGAAACUUUAAAGGAAUUGGCGGGGGAGCACAGCAACGGGUGGAGCGUGCGGUUU
RNAcentral lists this ribosomal RNA (430 nucleotides) under uncultured archaeon. Its description in RNAcentral is "bacterial SSU rRNA". It matches the Rfam family "Archaeal small subunit ribosomal RNA", at positions 474 to 903 of the family's 1478-position model. The record is from RNAcentral.